GAGAGAGACUGAGAGCGAAAAGAGAGGAUGGAUGGAAUUGAGCAGAUAGGUGUGCCAUUGCUGGGAAUUGUUGCAGCUGCUGCUCUUACUUUCUAUGCUGUUAGUUUUAAUGAGCUCAGAGAGAAAUCAGUGAAGGAGUAUGAGGAAAGGGAAGAAGGAAACAAUAACAAUGGUAGAUUCAUGACCUCAAGAGAGAAGAGGGCCCAAAGGAAGGCCAAAAAGUCCCAGAAUUAACCCCCACUCUUUCCAACGUAAAAAUUUGAUUUAGAUGCGCAUGAUAUUUAAUUUUAGUUUACAUAUAUAUAUAUAUUUUUUUUUACUGGAUAUUCACGAACAAGACUCGGACUUGUUCGUUAAUGAAAUAAACCUAUUUUUUAUGUUAUUAGAUUCGAUUUGUUUAUAUUUGUGAACGAUCUCAAACUGAGUUGAAUCGAGUUAAAUAAGAUUAAUUCGUUUAACAA
Molecule: long non-coding RNA, 461 nt
Organism: Andrographis paniculata
Lineage: Eukaryota; Viridiplantae; Streptophyta; Magnoliopsida; Lamiales; Acanthaceae
Exons: 2
Source: RefSeq, a predicted model, not a curated record